AAAAGAUAUGGAGAAUUAUGUAUAGUAAAAAGUCGAGUUACGCCGGAGCAUGAAAUACGUAAAGAAGGUUAUCGUGUUACAGCCAUUAUAAAUGAAACGCAAAGCUUGGUUCAGUCCUGCCAAUGCGAAGAUUGUGCGGCUUCUGAAGGUGGGUGUAAGCAUGCUGCUGCACUAUUGCUAUGGUUACACAGAAGAUCUGAGGAGCCUCCGAUAACGUCCAUCACAUGUUAUUGGAAAAAGACAAAAUUAUCUAUAUGUGCUUCUAGAAAAUCAUUUAUAAAAGCGAUACAAUGCUUUUAUAAAUGAAGUUAUGAAUGCUGCAAAGAAAUUCUCGAUAGAUGCUGUAUUUCCAAAAUUAAAAGAUAUUAAUUACAUGUUUUUUCUGUAACCAUUUUGUAGAUAUUUUAAAUAAAACUUUGUUUUUUAAA
This is a long non-coding RNA of Spodoptera frugiperda (fall armyworm), 428 nucleotides long. RefSeq lists it as uncharacterized. NCBI's taxonomy places the organism in Eukaryota, Metazoa, Arthropoda, Insecta, Lepidoptera, Noctuidae. The record is from RefSeq and is a predicted model, not a curated record. The transcript is spliced from 2 exons.